UACGUAGGGUGCAAGCGUUGUCCGGAAUUAUUGGGCGUAAAGAGCUCGUAGGCGGUCUGUCGCGUCGGCUGUGAAAACCCGGGGCUCAACCCCGGGCCUGCAGUCGAUACGGGCAGACUAGAGUGCGGUAGGGGAGAAUGGAAUUCCCGGUGUAGCGGUGAAAUGCGCAGAUAUCGGGAGGAACACCGGUGGCGAAGGCGGUUCUCUGGGCCUUACCUGACACUGAGGAGCGAAAGCGUGGGGAGCGAACAGG
This 253-nucleotide ribosomal RNA is filed under the name uncultured bacterium. RNAcentral describes it as "partial 16S ribosomal RNA". It matches the Rfam family "Bacterial small subunit ribosomal RNA", at positions 524 to 776 of the family's 1533-position model. The record is from RNAcentral.